Molecule: non-coding RNA, 870 nt
Organism: Equus caballus (horse)
Lineage: Eukaryota; Metazoa; Chordata; Mammalia; Perissodactyla; Equidae
Source: RefSeq, a predicted model, not a curated record
CGCCCGCCCCGGCCCCGGCCGCCGCCGCCGCCUCACCCUCGGCCGCCUGCAAAGUCUGCAGGAGCUGGCGCGCUUCCUCCUCCUCCUCUUCGGUCGCCGCCGCCGCCACCGCCUCCCCCCCAGCCGCCGGCCCCGCGCUCGGCUCCGCAGGCAAGGCCGCGCUUUUUGCCAACCCCGGCGUGUGCCUCUGGCUCAGGGCCUCAGUUUCCCCAUCGGGACAAUGGAGAAGGUAACGGGCCGUCCGGGAGGGCUAAGGGCGCGAAGCCACCUCCGCCCCGAGACUGAGCUUCUGCACGCCUCCGUCUCCAGGGUCCUCUGUAGGCCCCCCCACUCCCCAUCUCGGCCUGCGCUCCGCCCCUCGGAAUUCCCGGCUCCGCAGGGGGGCGGGUCUGGCAGGGAGAGGGGGCGGGGGAACAGGCCAGAAAGUUUACAGCAACUUUUCUUGAGCGUAAGUCCCUGGAACGGAUGCGCGUGGCCCGCGCAGGCGCAGUGGUAGGAGGAUGGCCGCGCGCGCCGGCGGCCCAGCCCCCUUCUUCCCCGCGAUCGAGUGACACAGCUGGGCCACAGCUGGACGAGGGGCGGUGCCUCCGGGUGGCCCACUCGCCUUCUCCUAUUGGCCGGACGCCGAAGCCACGCCCCUCAGUCUCCGCCCCCAGCCCUGAUUCACCCACUUCGCGUCCCGCUAGCUCCCUGCUCGGCCAUUGGCCGCCUCCGGGCGCCCUCGAUUGGCCGGUUGAGCAGCCUCCGCCGCAGAGCAAACAGAGCGGACACGGCGGAGCGCCAAGCUGGGACAGACGAGAGGGCCUUUUAUUCGCGAGGAUCGGGGGUGGGGUCCUACGUGGGGAGAGACAAUAAAUACCGAGGAAUGUC